RNAcentral lists this ribosomal RNA (561 nucleotides) under Faecalibacterium prausnitzii. RNAcentral describes it as "partial 23S ribosomal RNA". It matches the Rfam family "Bacterial large subunit ribosomal RNA", at positions 1083 to 1709 of the family's 2925-position model. Lineage: Bacteria; Bacillati; Bacillota; Clostridia; Eubacteriales; Oscillospiraceae. The record is from RNAcentral.
ACGUAGACAACCAGGAUGUUGGCUCAGAAGCAGCCACACAUUCAAAGAGUGCGUAAUAGCUCACUGGUCGAGCGUCUUUGCGCGGAGAAUUUAACGGGGCUAAACCUGACACCGAAGCUUAGGCAAUACAGCAAUGUAUUGGGUAGGGGAGCGUUGUAUACGCGGUGAAACAGUAGCGCAAGCGGCUGUGGAGUGUAUAGAAGUGAGAAUGCCGGAAUGAGUAGCGCGAAUGCAGUGAGAAUCUGCAUGGCCGAAAGCCUCAGGUUUCUGGAGGAAGGUUCGUCCGCUCCAGGUUAGUCGGGAGCUAAGGUGAGGCCUAACGGCGUAGCCGAUGCACAGACGGUAGAGAUUCCGUCACCACCAAAAGAGUUAAACACAGGGACACAUUUGAAGUCUCGGAGCCGGGUGUUGGUUCCGGUAGCGAUCGAGGGAAAUUAGUACCGAAGUUCGGGAUGGAAGAUGGCGAGAAAAGCUGUGUGUAUUUCUGCGGUGCCCGUACCGCAAACCGACACAGGUAGGUAGGAAGAAGAUUCUAAGGCCAACGGGAGAAGGGUUGUUAAG